GCCUUCGUGGUGUAAUGGUCAGCACACUGAGCCUGUAUUUCAGAGGUCCGUGGUUCGAUCCCCGGCGAAGGCC
RNAcentral lists this transfer RNA (73 nucleotides) under Stegodyphus mimosarum. It matches the Rfam family "tRNA". Rfam says of the family: Transfer RNA (tRNA) molecules are approximately 80 nucleotides in length. Their secondary structure includes four short double-helical elements and three loops (D, anti-codon, and T loops). Lineage: Eukaryota; Metazoa; Arthropoda; Arachnida; Araneae; Eresidae. The record is from Rfam by way of RNAcentral.